GAGGGUAUAGCUCGGUGGUUGAGUGUGUGCUUAGCAUGCACAAGGUCCUGGGUUCAAUCCCCAGUACCUCCA
Transfer RNA from Camelus ferus (Wild Bactrian camel), 72 nucleotides. It matches the Rfam family "tRNA". Rfam says of the family: Transfer RNA (tRNA) molecules are approximately 80 nucleotides in length. Their secondary structure includes four short double-helical elements and three loops (D, anti-codon, and T loops). NCBI's taxonomy places the organism in Eukaryota, Metazoa, Chordata, Mammalia, Artiodactyla, Camelidae. The record is from Rfam.